AUACGUGUAGGGUGGAGAUGUACAACCGUCGGACUGUGUAGCACUAGGCUUAUAUUUAGACGCUUCAUCUCGUCCACAGGCGCCGGUUGAUUCCUCCUCCUGACUGAGUGCUUGAGUACCAGCAAGCAGGACGCGUCCGUCGCGACUUCGCCAUCAUUGGGUCGAACUCGCUGGACACUGGAGUGGCCUUGCCAUCUCCAGGACGCACCUGACACCGACCGUGAGAAGUCGUGUGUGCCGAACGCCGUUUCCGGCAGCCCGGAAACCGA
This is a non-coding RNA of Pseudomonas fluorescens, 269 nucleotides long. The record is from Rfam. Lineage: Bacteria; Pseudomonadati; Pseudomonadota; Gammaproteobacteria; Pseudomonadales; Pseudomonadaceae.